RNAcentral lists this ribosomal RNA (497 nucleotides) under uncultured bacterium. RNAcentral's name for it is "partial 16S ribosomal RNA". It matches the Rfam family "Bacterial small subunit ribosomal RNA", at positions 28 to 507 of the family's 1533-position model. The record is from RNAcentral.
GAUGAACGCUGGCGGCGUGCCUAAUACAUGCAAGUCGAGCGAACAGACGAGGAGCUUGCUCCUUCGACGUUCGCGGCGGACGGGUGAGUAACACGUAGGUAACCUACCUAUAAGACUGGGAUAACUUCGGGAAACCGGAGCUAAUACCGGAUAAUAUUUCGAACCGCAUGGUUCGAUAGUGAAAGAUGGCUUUGCUAUCACUUAUAGAUGGACCUGCGCCGUAUUAGCUAGUUGGUAAGGUAACGGCUUACCAAGGCAACGAUACGUAGCCGACCUGAGAGGGUGAUCGGCCACACUGGAACUGAGACACGGUCCAGACUCCUACGGGAGGCAGCAGUAGGGAAUCUUCCGCAAUGGGCGAAAGCCUGACGGAGCAACGCCGCGUGAGUGAUGAAGGUCUUCGGAUCGUAAAACUCUGUUAUUAGGGAAGAACAAACGUGUAAGUAACUGUGCACGUCUUGACGGUACCUAAUCAGAAAGCCACGGCUAACUACGUG